GAGGUUAUAAUUUAAUUGGUAAAAUAGUAGGUUGUCGUCCUAUUAAUACAGGUUCAAAUCCUGUUAAUCUUG
This 72-nucleotide transfer RNA is filed under the name Axinella corrugata. RNAcentral's name for it is "tRNA-Asp". It matches the Rfam family "tRNA". From Rfam's summary of the family: Transfer RNA (tRNA) molecules are approximately 80 nucleotides in length. Their secondary structure includes four short double-helical elements and three loops (D, anti-codon, and T loops). The record is from RNAcentral. Lineage: Eukaryota; Metazoa; Porifera; Demospongiae; Axinellida; Axinellidae.